GGUGUUCGAGUGGCGAACGGGUGAGUAACACGUGAGUAACCUGCCCUUGACUUUGGGAUAACUUCAGGAAACUGGGGCUAAUACCGGAUAGGAGCUCCUGCUGCAUGGUGGGGGUUGGAAAGUUUCGGCGGUUGGGGAUGGACUCGCGGCUUAUCAGCUUGUUGGUGGGGUAGUGGCUUACCAAGGCUUUGACGGGUAGCCGGCCUGAGAGGGUGACCGGCCACAUUGGGACUGAGAUACGGCCCAG
This 247-nucleotide ribosomal RNA is filed under the name uncultured Actinomycetales bacterium. Its description in RNAcentral is "partial 16S ribosomal RNA". It matches the Rfam family "Bacterial small subunit ribosomal RNA", at positions 86 to 334 of the family's 1533-position model. Lineage: Bacteria; Bacillati; Actinomycetota; Actinomycetes; Actinomycetales. The record is from RNAcentral.